AGGGCCCCAGGAUCCUCUAUUAAAUGUGUGGUCCAUGAACCAGCAGCUUCAGCAUGACCUGAGAGCUCAUAACCUCGUCUCUACAAAAAAUACAAAAAAAGUUAGCCAGGCAUGGUGGUACACGCCUAUGGUCUCAGCAACUUGGGAGGCUGAGAUUCAUAGCAAGUGAAACAUUCCAGAUGUUAAAAGCGUGGACAGUGAGGUCCAUGGACCGGCAGGAUCAGCAGCCCCAGAAGCUCCUUGGACCUGCAAGACCCUCCGGCCCCACCACAGCCCUACUGAACCAGGAUCAGACUUUAAAAAAGAAUCCAAUGCCAGUUUGAGAAGCCCAACUCAAAAAUCUAGACCAACAACCUGGUCUACCUUCCUGGCCAAGUCUCGCCACAUGGCAUCAUUUCCUCCUCACCUGCAGAAUCGCUGUGACUUAUGGCUCCUCUGAUUGCACCUGCUUUCACCAGCAGCCCUGGAAGAGAGCUCUUCUGUGUGGAUAAGAGUUGAGAGAUCUUGGUUUCAUUACUUGUUUAAAUUGGACCCUCUCAAAUGAAUGUAAGCACAUAAUGGGGGGACUACACUAUGAGAUUAAAAGGAAUCCAGCUGUUACCAGAAAUGGGUGCCUGCCAGGUUUAUCCACCAAAUUCUUUCCACUUCAUGUCAUUAAAAUAAAAUUUGAGUUUUAAAAUGAAAAUUUCUCAGAUU
Molecule: long non-coding RNA, 696 nt
Filed under: Homo sapiens (human)
Lineage: Eukaryota; Metazoa; Chordata; Mammalia; Primates; Hominidae
Description: HSALNT0307249
Source: RNAcentral